GUGCUCGCUUUGGCAGCACAUGUACUGAAAUUAGAAGGAUACAGAGAAGAUUAGCAUAGACUCUGCACAAGGAUAACAUGCAAAUUCAUGAAGUGUUCCAUAUUUUU
This is a small nuclear RNA of Manis pentadactyla (Chinese pangolin), 107 nucleotides long. The record is from RefSeq and is a predicted model, not a curated record. NCBI's taxonomy places the organism in Eukaryota, Metazoa, Chordata, Mammalia, Pholidota, Manidae.